UUAUUCUCUGUGUUUCCUGCUGCCAAACUGCAGGAUCCCAGAGAUCCCACCCCAGAGAGUGUCCUUGAUCAAAGAGUGAUCAUUAGGAGAAACCACCUUGUUUACCCGUCUCCAUGGCGACAUCCUCCUAAUGGCAGCUUUGGCUCUCGGGGAUGUGAAACGAUUUCACGAAGCGUCAUUAACUCCUCACAAUUUGAUGUGCUGCCAGGAGGGAGACCUCCGGGGGCCUGCAGGCUGCAGGCUGAAGACAGCAAGGGCUUUAAGAGCUGCAAGAUAUUAAUGCCAAACAAGACAUCUAAAUUGUUACUCUGGAAACCUGCAUACGCAGCCCUUCACAGAUUAGAUGAUGAAAUGCCACAUUUAAAACAUCCUUGAGUGUCAUACCCCAGCCUUCCCCGGAAGAGAGCCUGUCAGUCCCGGCCCGGUUCUGUCGCGUUGGAGGCUGGAAGGGAUGCUAUCACAAUGCAAAAAGGCAAUUCACGGAAUGGGAUACAUUAUGUGCAGACAACCUGACAAGGGUCCCUGGCAAGCAGACUUGAAUAAAUGCUUCUCCAAGGAAACCACCCAUUUACACUGAGCACCUGAGAAAACAUUCAACAUCUUUGUCUUAGGAAAAUGCAAAUCCAAGCCACAACGAGGUUCCACUCUGCACCCACAAGGACGGCUACAGUUUUUUACAAAGGAAAAAUAGUAACUGUUGACUGUGACGUUAGAGAAAUGGGACACUUGUGCAUGACUAGUGGGAGUGUGGAGUGGCCGGCCACUGUGGAAAACAGACCGACGGCUGAGAAAAAGGCUGACCUCCCGUCACCAGGAACCAGCAAUUCUACUAGAAAGACACGUGGUCAAAAGAAGGGAAAGUGGUGUCCACGGGACUCCUGGGCACGGGCAUGGCCGCCCCUCCUCUGUCACCAGUUGGUGGGCUCUCAGGGCCCAUCCACAGGUCCUCCAGACCCUCCAGCUGGACUCUGGCAGUUUGUCCCGGUGGGAUCUAGGGUCCUCUCUGUGCCCUGCAGCUGGAGCGCUUCCUGCCAGGUCUGGAGAUCGUGACCCUAAGGAGGUGGACCCCCGAGGAGUCACUCCCGAUACCCUCAGGCGGCCUGUGACACACCACUGACUCACCUCAGGGACAUGCUGACCAUAUGCCAGGGAAUCUGUCAUCUCCCGGGACUCAGCUGCCCGCCCUGCCGUCCUAGAGCAAGCGCCUCAGGAGGACAAGUUCAGCAGGUGUUGUCCACUCUGCCGGAGAAGGGGGAGCCAGCAUGUCUGGGGGCUCUGUGGGACAGCCCUGGGUAAGAAGCCUCUAAAGGACGUAAUGGGGCGGGGGUGACGGUUCAUAGGGUGACCGUGGUCACUAUGAUUCUAGGUUGAAGCAACACGUUAGCAUCAACCCCAUGUGUGGCCCUUGAUUCUGCCUGCUUUGUUUAUAAAGCACUGGAUGACCCAUGGCCAU
Molecule: non-coding RNA, 1453 nt
Organism: Ictidomys tridecemlineatus (thirteen-lined ground squirrel)
Lineage: Eukaryota; Metazoa; Chordata; Mammalia; Rodentia; Sciuridae
Source: RefSeq, a predicted model, not a curated record